ACUACGGGUGGCUGCAGUGAGGAAUAUUGGUCAAUGGCCGAGAGGCUGAACCAGCCAAGUCGCGUGAGGGAAGACGGCCCUACGGGUUGUAAACCUCUUUUGUCGGGGAACAAAGGCGUCCACGUGUGGACUGAUGAGUGUACCCGAAGAAAAAGCAUCGGCUAACUCCGUGCCAGCAGCCGCGGUAAUACGGAGGAUGCGAGCGUUAUCCGGAUUUAUUGGGUUUAAAGGGUGCGUAGGCGGACAGUCAAGUCAGCGGUAAAAAUGCGGUGCUCAACGCCGUACAGCCGUUGAAACUGGCAGUCUUGAGUGGGCGAGAAGUAUGCGGAAUGCGUGGUGUAGCGGUGAAAUGCAUAGAUAUCACGCAGAACUCCGAUUGCGAAGGCAGCAUACCGGCGCCCUACUGACGCUGAGGCACGAAAGCGUGGGUAUCGAACAGGAUUAGAUACCCUGGUAGUC
Molecule: ribosomal RNA, 459 nt
Filed under: uncultured bacterium
Lineage: Bacteria
Description: partial 16S ribosomal RNA
Rfam family: Bacterial small subunit ribosomal RNA
Source: RNAcentral